This 51-nucleotide small nucleolar RNA is filed under the name Pyrobaculum calidifontis JCM 11548. RNAcentral's name for it is "PCAsR64". Lineage: Archaea; Thermoproteati; Thermoproteota; Thermoprotei; Thermoproteales; Thermoproteaceae. The record is from RNAcentral.
GUGAUGAAGUAAACCGCGCCGGCGAGCCAUGAGCGUAGAACUCACAACUGA